Daphnia carinata is the source of this 724-nucleotide long non-coding RNA. RefSeq lists it as uncharacterized. The transcript is spliced from 3 exons. The record is from RefSeq and is a predicted model, not a curated record. Lineage: Eukaryota; Metazoa; Arthropoda; Branchiopoda; Diplostraca; Daphniidae.
UGGAUUAUUUUGUUGUGUUCAUGUGUUCGUUCCUGUUUAAUGUUGCAUAGGUUUUUGUUUUUAUUACAAAUUCAAUAACCAUAAAUUAAUUUGAAUUGCUAUAGUGAUAUUGCCUCCGCAAGAAAGUACGUCAACAUACGAAAAUCGAAAGCAAUACAAGCACCUUCUUGUGCUAAACCACUAUGCUAAUGCCACUUUUACCCAGACGGUCCCUGAUCGCCUGACCUGAAGGCGACACACUUAUUGGUGUAGUGCGAAGGAAAAUGUGAAUCCAAACUUGGUUGGUACAAUCAUCAAAAUCAAAUGCGCACAUUCCACGAAGAUCAAGGAGCUUGUCACAUCAACCCCCGCCACACAUUAUCAGCACAUUAGUGAUGGCAGCAAUUGAAUUUACCUGUCAUUAGCCGGGGAUUUUACGAGGAAAAUAACCGGCGAUAAACGUAAAUGUCAGGCGCUUAUCAGUAAAUGUGAUAAAACUCUGUCAAAAACAUAACUUAAUUACGUCAUCCAUCACACACAGUCCUGCCAGCCAGAAUGUCUCCCGACCAUUGUCAUAAACUUUUGGUCUAAAAAAAAAACAGACUUUACACAUUGUCAGCAAAUUUGACUCGCACGUGGAAGCCAACAGAUGUGUAGUGCUACUGUUCCCGUCAUUAAUUGUCGCUGUCAUUUGUACAUCAUGAGUGUAAUUCUCGUUUGCGUGUUGAGGAAUGAAACGUAUGAG